This 416-nucleotide ribosomal RNA is filed under the name uncultured bacterium. RNAcentral describes it as "bacterial SSU rRNA". It matches the Rfam family "Bacterial small subunit ribosomal RNA", at positions 335 to 715 of the family's 1533-position model. The record is from RNAcentral.
ACUCCUACGGGAGGCAGCAGUGGGGAAUACUGCACAAUGGGCGCAAGCCUGAUGCAGCCAUGCCGCGUGUAUGAAGAAGGCCUUCGGGUUGUAAAAGUACUUUUCGAUAUGUCAAAGUGAGGGAACGGAUUGGGUUAAUGUUAAACUUUAACGGCAUUAAGCUCAUUUGACGUUAGCUGCAGAAGAAGCACCGGCUAACUCCGUGCCAGCAGCCGCGGUAAUACGGAGGGUGCGAGCGUUAAUCGGAAUUACUGGGCGUAAAGCGCAUGCAGGUGGUUUGUUAAGUCAGAUGUGAAAGCCCGGGGCUCAACCUCGGAAUUGCAUUUGAAAACUGGCAAAACUAGAGUACUGUAGAGGGGGGUAGAAUUUCAGGUGUAGCGGUGAAAAUGCGUAGAGAUCUGAAGGAAUACCGGUGG